GCAUAUCAAUAAGCGGAGGAAAAGAAACCAACAGGGAUUGCCCCAGUAACGGCGAGUGAAGCGGCAACAGCUCAAAUUUGAAAUCUGGUCCCCCCGCGGGGCCCGAGUUGUAAUUUGAAGAGGAUGCUUCUGGCAAGGUGCCGUCCGAGUUCCCUGGAACGGGACGCCGCAGAGGGUGAGAGCCCCGUACGGUCGGACGCCGAGCCUCUGUGAAGCUCCUUCGACGAGUCGAGUAGUUUGGGAAUGCUGCUCAAAAUGGGAGGUAAACCCCUUCUAAAGCUAAAUACCGGCCAGAGACCGAUAGCGCACAAGUAGAGUGAUCGAAAGAUGAAAAGCACUUUGAAAAGAGAGUUAAAAAGCACGUGAAAUUGUUGAAAGGGAAGCGCUUGCGACCAGACUCGCGCCCGUCGGAUCAGCCGUCGCUCGUCGGCGGCGCACUCCGGCGGGCUCGGGCCAGCAUCAGUUCGCCUCGGGGGGAGAAAGGCGGCGGGAAUGUGGCUCUACGGAGUGUUAUAGCCCGCCGCGUAAUACCCCCGGGCGGACUGAGGACCGCGCGUAUGCAAGGAUGCUGGCGUAAUGGUCGUCAGCGACCCGUCUUGAAACACGGACCAAGGAGUCGUCCUAAUAUGCGAGUGUACGGGUGUCAAACCCCUGCGCGUAAUGAAAGUGAACGGAGGUGAGAGCUUCGGCGCAUCAUCGACCGAUCCUGAUGUUCUCGGAUGGAUUUGAGUAAGAGCAUAUUGGGCCGGACCCGAAAGAAGGUGAACUAUGCCUGUGUAGGGUAAAGCCAGAGGAAACUCUGGUGGAGGCUCGCAGCGGUUCUGACGUGCAAAUCGAUCGUCAAACAUGGGCAUGGGGGCGAAAGACUAAUCGAACCUUCUAGUAGCUGGUUUCCGCCGA
Molecule: ribosomal RNA, 900 nt
Filed under: Microascus cinereus
Lineage: Eukaryota; Fungi; Ascomycota; Sordariomycetes; Microascales; Microascaceae
Description: LSU rRNA
Rfam family: Eukaryotic large subunit ribosomal RNA
Source: RNAcentral